GUUUCGGCUAAGCCAUGCGAGUCUAGGGAUCGCAAGAUACCGGCAUACUGCUCAGUAACACGCGGAUAAUCUGCCCCCAGGUGAAGAAUACCCUCGGGAAACUGAGGCUAAUACUUCAUAAUCACUAUAUGCUGGAAUGCUUUGGUGAUGAAAGAAUUUCGCCUGAGGAUGAGUCUGCGGCCUAUCAGGUCGUAUGUGGUGUAAUGGACCACAUAGCCUAAGACGGGUACGGGCCUUGAAAGAGGGAGCCCGGAGAUGGACUCUGAGACAUUAGUCCAGGCCCUACGGGGCGCAGCAGGCGCGAAAACUGUACAAUGCGUGAAAGCGCGACACGGGAAGCCUGAGUGCCUUAACACAGUUAAGGCUUUUCUCAAGCCUAAAAAGCUUGAGGAA
RNAcentral lists this ribosomal RNA (393 nucleotides) under uncultured archaeon. RNAcentral's name for it is "bacterial SSU rRNA". It matches the Rfam family "Archaeal small subunit ribosomal RNA", at positions 37 to 435 of the family's 1478-position model. The record is from RNAcentral.